UGCAAUUAUCCUCUCUGGGUAACUGGUACUCACUCAUUCCAACCUUUUAGUGGGGUAGUUGGUCUUGCAUUUUCUUCAUUAUUAGCUAUAAUUCUGUAUCCAAGGGAGUCUCUACCAAAAAAUGAAAGAAUUGAGUAGGACUAUUGAGGAAUAAACAGUGAUUUUGUCAGUUAAAAGAAGCAAUGGUUUUAGGACGGCGCAGUUAGUAUGGUUUGGUAUGGUAGCUGGUUUCAACUUAUACUCUCCAGCCUGCUAUCGUCAGAAUGCCUUUGGGAAGAAAGGGGGAAAUAAAAGGUGCACAAGCACAAAGGAAUUAAAGAGAUUCUUUCGCGGUGGUGUUCCUAAUCUCAAAAAUCUGAGGUUGCAGUUGCUUGAGUGCGCAUUAAGGUCAGGAGGAAAAGACAAAAAAAGAAGCAAAAAGCAAAGUCUGCCGGUGUACAGCUGUUUAGUAAAAAACGGAAGGUAGGGUUUCGGUGUAUGGUCGGUAUAAAAUCUCAAAAGGCAGAGAUGAGAGAACAGAGCAUUUUUGCAAGUUAAUUGUACGUAUAAAUUUUGACAUACGCCCUUUCAACGCAUAAAAUAUACGAGGAUUUAUGACGAUUGAUUGUUUGCCUUGUGUAAUACAUGGCGGAUGGCACCCCUUAAAAGCCCUAGCAAUGCUUGUAUAGCUUACGCAC
RNAcentral lists this unclassified non-coding RNA (677 nucleotides) under Hevea brasiliensis (rubber tree). The record is from RNAcentral. Lineage: Eukaryota; Viridiplantae; Streptophyta; Magnoliopsida; Malpighiales; Euphorbiaceae.